CAGUCGCCGCGGGAAUACGAAGGGGGCUAGCGUUGUUCGGAUUUACUGGGCGUAAAGCGCACGUAGGCGGAUCGUUAAGUCGGGGGUGAAAUCCUGGAGCUCAACUCCAGAACUGCCUUCAAUACUGGCGACCUCGAGUCCGGAAGAGGUGAGUGGAACUCCUAGUGUAGAGGUGGAAUUCGUAGAUAUUAGGAAGAACACCAGUGGCGAAGGCGGCUCACUGGUCCGGUACUGACGCUGAGGUGCGAAAGCGUGGUGAGCAAACAGGAUUAGAUACCCCUGUAGUCCCUGUCUCUUAUAC
Molecule: ribosomal RNA, 301 nt
Filed under: uncultured bacterium
Lineage: Bacteria
Description: partial 16S ribosomal RNA
Rfam family: Bacterial small subunit ribosomal RNA
Source: RNAcentral